Phrynosoma platyrhinos (Desert horned lizard) is the source of this 73-nucleotide non-coding RNA. Lineage: Eukaryota; Metazoa; Chordata; Lepidosauria; Squamata; Phrynosomatidae. The record is from the annotation of a GenBank genome assembly.
UGCAGUGUGGCGUAGUGGUUUGAGUGAUGGACUGUGACUCUGGGAGACCAGGAUUCAAAUCCCUGCUCAGCCA